RNAcentral lists this ribosomal RNA (495 nucleotides) under uncultured bacterium. RNAcentral describes it as "partial 16S ribosomal RNA". It matches the Rfam family "Bacterial small subunit ribosomal RNA", at positions 28 to 507 of the family's 1533-position model. The record is from RNAcentral.
GACGAACGCUGGCGGCGUGCCUAAUACAUGCAAGUAGAACGCUGAAGGAGGAGCUUGCUUCUCUGGAUGAGUUGCGAACGGGUGAGUAACGCGUAGGUAACCUGCCUGGUAGCGGGGGAUAACUAUUGGAAACGAUAGCUAAUACCGCAUAAGAGUAGAUGUUGCAUGACAUUUGCUUAAAAGGUGCAAUUGCAUCACUACCAGAUGGACCUGCGUUGUAUUAGCUAGUUGGUGGGGUAACGGCUCACCAAGGCGACGAUACAUAGCCGACCUGAGAGGGUGAUCGGCCACACUGGGACUGAGACACGGCCCAGACUCAUACGGGAGGCAGCAGUAGGGAAUCUUCGGCAAUGGACGGAAGUCUGACCGAGCAACGCCGCGUGAGUGAAGAAGGUUUUCGGAUCGUAAAGCUCUGUUGUAAGAGAAGAACGAGUGUGAGAGUGGAAAGUUCACACUGUGACGGUAUCUUACCAGAAAGGGACGGCUAACUACGUG